Molecule: unclassified non-coding RNA, 336 nt
Filed under: soil metagenome
Description: partial contains 5.8S ribosomal RNA, internal transcribed spacer 2, and large subunit ribosomal RNA
Rfam family: 5.8S ribosomal RNA (bases 1-119)
Source: RNAcentral
AUGAAGAACGUAGCGAAAUGCGAUAAGUAAUGUGAAUUGCAGAAUUCAGUGAAUCAUCGAAUCUUUGAACGCACAUUGCGCCCGCCAGUAUUCUGGCGGGCAUGCCUGUUCGAGCGUCAUUUCAACCAUCAAGCCCCCGGGCUUGUGUUGGGGACCUGCGGCUGCCGCAGGCCCUGAAAAGCAGUGGCGGGCUCGCUGUCACACCGAGCGUAGUAGAUUUUAUCUCGCUCAGGGCGUGCUGCGGGUUCCGGCCGUUAAACCACCUUCAUAACCCAAGGUUGACCUCGGAUCAGGUAGGAAGACCCGCUGAACUUAAGCAUAUCAAUAAGCGGAGGA